AACACUCAUUGUAAAUCGUAAGCGGAAAGUUGUGUUGUGUUGCGAAGAAAACGCGUGGAAAUCAAGCUCUGAGACAGGAAAAAAUUGUGAAAAUAACUUGAUACGUUGCAUGCGAGCCCGGCAGCCGCAGCACUAUGAAAUUCACCCGUGAAUCGUUGGAAACAUUUGCUAUAUUGCAGGUAGUAAACGUAUAAGACUGCGUCGCUACAUCUUCUAAGUGCAGUUAUUUAAAAAUGUGCAAAAGAACAAAAAUCAAGUGCGAAUGUGAAAAAAAUACAAACUAUAUUUGUUUCAUAAAAUCAUAACUAGAACAAAAAGUGAUUUAAAACCAAAGGAAAGAGCCGCGAAACUCUUUGCGAUCCAAACAAUUGUGCAAAAUGAAGUAAAUCACGAAUCAAGAGAAUAAGCGGAACAACGAAAAAUCGUUUAUCAUCCAAGCGUCUCCAACGAACAACGAGCAACAACAACGCAGAUCCGAUCGGAACACCAACAAGGAUAAAGAUCAGAAUCGGAACCAGAAGGAAGGAGGAGGAAAACAGGCGUGCGCAGCGUAGCCAGAAGCUGAGAAGCAGAGGAGGAGGAGCACGCCGAGGAAUCAAUCGAAUCUCUCGCACCGUUAUGUUUGUGAUGGCUGACAAUGUGAUGUGGCACAGUGUCGGACACCGUCAUUGCAAAUCAUCGAGCAGCUUACUCCUACCACAGAGAGUCUCAGCGUCCGUCCUCCGAGCCAGAGCCAGAGGUUAUGCAUUGGGCCCCCAAUGCUUUGGGGGCACACCCACGAACAACCAGCUACUUCAGCAACAUCAGGAGCAACUGCAUCAGUGGCAGCAACAUGACGGCCUUGCCAUUAAAGUAGUGUUGUGAAAUCGAAACUGAAACCGAAACCGAAACCGAAGAACUUUACCGAACCGAGCGAGCGAGUG
Molecule: non-coding RNA, 923 nt
Organism: Drosophila bipectinata
Lineage: Eukaryota; Metazoa; Arthropoda; Insecta; Diptera; Drosophilidae
Source: RefSeq, a predicted model, not a curated record